UGCGUAGGUGGUUGGAUAAGUCAGAUGUGAAAUCCCCGGGCUCAACCUGGGAAUGGCAUUUGGUACUAUUCGGCUAGAGUGCAGUAGAGGAAAGUGGAAUUUCCGGUGUAGCGGUGAAAUGCGUAGAUAUCGGAAGGAACAUCAGUGGCGAAGGCGACUUUCUGGACUGUAACUGACACUGAGGCACGAAAGCGUGGGGAGCGAACA
Molecule: ribosomal RNA, 207 nt
Filed under: uncultured bacterium
Lineage: Bacteria
Description: partial 16S ribosomal RNA
Rfam family: Bacterial small subunit ribosomal RNA
Source: RNAcentral